AACGAACGCUGGCGGCAUGCCUAACACAUGCAAGUCGAACGAGACCUUCGGGUCUAGCGGCGCACGGGUGCGUAACGCGUGGGAACCUGCCCUUAGGUUCGGAAUAACUCCCCGAAAGGGGUGCUAAUACCGGAUAAUGUCUUCGGAGCAAAGAGUUAUCGCCUUUGGAUGGGCCCGCGUUGGAUUAGCUAGUUGGUAGGGUAAAAGCCUACCAAGGCGACGAUCCAUAGCUGGUCUGAGAGGAUGAUCAGCCACACUGGGACUGAGACACGGCCCAGACUCCUACGGGAGGCAGCAGUGGGGAAUAUUGGACAAUGGGCGAAAGCCUGAUCCAGCAAUGCCGCGUGAGUGAUGAAGGCCUUAGGGUUGUAAAGCUCUUUUACCCGGGAUGAUAAUGACAGUACCGGGAGAAUAAGCUCCGGCUAACUCCGUG
Molecule: ribosomal RNA, 433 nt
Filed under: uncultured bacterium
Lineage: Bacteria
Description: partial 16S ribosomal RNA
Rfam family: Bacterial small subunit ribosomal RNA
Source: RNAcentral